Globicephala melas (long-finned pilot whale) is the source of this 325-nucleotide long non-coding RNA. RefSeq lists it as uncharacterized. Lineage: Eukaryota; Metazoa; Chordata; Mammalia; Artiodactyla; Delphinidae. The record is from RefSeq and is a predicted model, not a curated record.
ACCCCAGGCUAGAGAGGCUGCCACUACCUGGGGUACACCUGACCCGGGGCAGAUGGAAAAGAGGAAGUGCAGAACCACCUUGGAGUUCUUAAAACAAAAUAAUUUCUGCUCAAAUUCCACUGGCUGAAGCAAACCACGUUUGGGGAUUCCUGGAUCUGAAACAAACACAGACACAUCCAGCGACCCUUCCCCAGCAAGGCCCAAUCCCUGAAUCACAUCUUACUCAUCAGCCGCUCGCCUCAGCCCAGGUGAUGAGACUUUGGAGGAGAUUUACCUUGGGGAGACGCAGCUGGGAGACGAGUGGUGGAAACUGACUGGAUUUUCU